Molecule: transfer RNA, 100 nt
Filed under: Hypoxylon rubiginosum
Lineage: Eukaryota; Fungi; Ascomycota; Sordariomycetes; Xylariales; Hypoxylaceae
Description: tRNA-Val
Rfam family: tRNA
About the family: Transfer RNA (tRNA) molecules are approximately 80 nucleotides in length.
Source: RNAcentral
GGUCGACUGGUGUAGUGGUUAUCACGUCUGUCUUACAAUUGCAUUGUAUGGUGUAUUGUGAGGACACAGAAGGCCGCAGGUUCGAUCCCUGCGUCGAUCA